GAUGAACGCUGGCGGCGUGCUUAACACAUGCAAGUCGAACGAUGAAGCCCAGCUUGCUGGGUGGAUUAGUGGCGAACGGGUGAGUAACACGUGAGUAACCUGCCCUUAACUCUGGGAUAGGCCUGGGAAACUGGGUCUAAUACCGGAUAGGAGCGUCCACCGCAUGGUGGGUGUUGGAAAGAUUUAUCGGUUUUGGAUGGACUCGCGGCCUAUCAGCUUGUUGGUGAGGUAAUGGCUCACCAAGGCGACGAGGGGUAGCCGGCCUGAGAGGGUGACCGGCCACACUGGGACGGAGACACGGCCCAGACUCCUACGGGAGGCAGCAGUGGGGAAUAUUGCACAAUGGGCGCAAGCCUGAUGCAGCGACGCCGCGUGAGGGAUGACGGCCUUCGGGUUGUAAACCUCUUUCAGUAGGGAAGAAGCGAAAGUGACGGUACCUGCAGAAGAAGCACCGGCUAACUACGU
Molecule: ribosomal RNA, 465 nt
Filed under: uncultured bacterium
Lineage: Bacteria
Description: partial 16S ribosomal RNA
Rfam family: Bacterial small subunit ribosomal RNA
Source: RNAcentral